UUCUUCGGAGAGUUUGAUCCUGGCUCAGGAUGAACGCUGGCGGCGUGCCUAAUACAUGCAAGUCGAGCGAACUGAUUAGAAGCUUGCUUCUAUGACGUUAGCGGCGGACGGGUGAGUAACACGUGGGCAACCUGCCUGUAAGACUGGGAUAACUCCGGGAAACCGGAGCUAAUACCGGAUAACAUUUUCUCUUGCAUAAGAGAAAAUUGAAAGAUGGUUUCG
Molecule: ribosomal RNA, 222 nt
Filed under: Priestia veravalensis
Lineage: Bacteria; Bacillati; Bacillota; Bacilli; Caryophanales; Bacillaceae
Description: Bacillus sp. SGD-V-76 partial 16S ribosomal RNA
Rfam family: Bacterial small subunit ribosomal RNA
Source: RNAcentral